This is a long non-coding RNA of Quercus robur (English oak), 558 nucleotides long. RefSeq lists it as uncharacterized. The record is from RefSeq and is a predicted model, not a curated record. The transcript has 2 exons. NCBI's taxonomy places the organism in Eukaryota, Viridiplantae, Streptophyta, Magnoliopsida, Fagales, Fagaceae.
AUGAAGAAGAAGAAGAAACUAUGAAAAACUUAUUCCUUUCAGUUAUUUGUCAAACUUUCCACAACAAACGCAAGGGCAGGGGCAAGCAAUGGAUCAGAAAGCAGAAAGCAACACGGUGAAGAAGAUAAUGUCACCCUGCGAUGUUGAGGCAUUAAAGAAAUGCUUGGAAGAGAACAAGGGGGACUAUGUGAAAUGCCAAUCUCAAAUAGAGGCUUUCAAGUCAUCUUGUUCAAUCAAGAAGCCAAACCCAUCUCAGGAAUCUGCACCACCGCUCAACUCUGGUUUAAGGACAUAGCCUUCUGUUUUCCAGAAGUUGGAGUUGGAGAGAAAUGCUGGAAAAAUGGAGAAUGCCAAGAAUGAAAAAAAGGGUCUCCAUCCAGUGCCUAGACAAUGCCAAUUUCAAUUGGAAGCCUUGAGGUCCUUUGAUUCUCUUAGGAAAAACAUAACCUGCUUUCGAUUGGUAGCAUAUUUAGACAGUGACACUUUUGUUUUAAGAGCUAUGUUGUUGCAACAUUGGUUUUGGUUGAUGUUAUUCAAUGAAUGUGCAUUGUGAGGAAA